RNAcentral lists this long non-coding RNA (1182 nucleotides) under Struthio camelus australis. RNAcentral describes it as "lncRNA (ENSSCUG00000015399.1)". The record is from RNAcentral. Lineage: Eukaryota; Metazoa; Chordata; Aves; Struthioniformes; Struthionidae.
CAGCAGGCAGGGGCUCGGUCGCUGUCUGUAGUGGAUGCCGUGCUCCGGCUCCCUCGGCUGCGGUGGGGCUCCGUGCUGUGAUCCGGCUGAGGAAUUAAAGGGAUUUAAAUUAUUUUUCGAGGUGGAAAAGCCGCUGCGCCGUCUGCACCCGCUUAGUAACGUAAGCCGUAAUGCUACAGCAGGGAGCGGGCCCCGCUGUGUUUCAGGGAGAAGGUUCCAAGUGGGAGAUCAUAAUCCCAAGCAGAGUCAUAGUCAUUACUACAUAAAAUUCAGUUUGGUUUUGCUAGUAUUUGGUGUAAGAGCCUCAGAAGCAAUACACUCCAAACAGGAACUGAGAUUGUAACCAGCAAGAAAUCAGUUACAAACCUCAAAUCCAUGCCAGGAUUUCAUUUAUGCUUUCUUAUUAGCAGAAAUCUCAGAAUAAUUAUUUUUAGUCACAUGCUCUUCUCUACAAAUUCACAAUUUCUUCCUUUAGGAAAAUGGGCUAUACUUAAAAAAUUCAGUGAAACUACCAGCUACUACAAGCACUGCUCACCUCUGAGGCUACUUCUAGAUGCAUAAAACAUACUUCUCUUGUAAAAGUUAUCCAUCUCAAGAAGUGUCACUACACAUAAUCAGCACUGAUAACUUUGAUAAUUGUUACUAAAUUCCAAAUGAGUGACAAAUUCUGUUUGCUGUGCUGAUGUUAUAAUAGCUUGCGGUAGCUCAGAUAUUACUGCUGAGAGAAAAGAACUCCCUCUAUGGCCAACUGAGUUUGUUCGAGUUUAUUACUGAUAUUUGUUAGAUAUGCAUUGAGAAAGUAAAUUCCAUUAGGAAAGUUCCCACUGAGACUUUCAUAGCUGCUCUAUCUCCCUUUCUAUUCCAUAACUACACACACACAGUGUUAGCUGUGAAAAAGACAUAAAAUAUGUCAGUCAGUUCAAUUUUCUAAAACAGGCUGAUGUCAUUCAGUCUAACAUUUAACAUUUUUAUUUAUUGCCUUAGUGGGAAAGAAAAUUUCAAACAAUGAAAAAAAAUCUAAUAACCUAUUCAGAGAAGUAAUAAUCCACAGUUAUCCAGCAGUCUCAUUGUGAUGCCCUUAUAAUGCAAAAUCCAUAGCACUGAGAGUACUGCCACACUGCCCUUUCUUCAAUUAACUGAACAUGAAAUAAAAAUACUCUCAGGCAUCUCUUUUUUGGUAUA